RNAcentral lists this transfer RNA (73 nucleotides) under Candidatus Purcelliella pentastirinorum. Its description in RNAcentral is "tRNA-Glu". It matches the Rfam family "tRNA". Rfam says of the family: Transfer RNA (tRNA) molecules are approximately 80 nucleotides in length. Their secondary structure includes four short double-helical elements and three loops (D, anti-codon, and T loops). Further hydrogen bonds mediate the characteristic L-shaped molecular structure. tRNAs have two regions of fundamental functional importance: the anti-codon, which is responsible for specific mRNA codon recognition, and the 3' end, to which the tRNAs corresponding amino acid is attached (by aminoacyl-tRNA synthetases). tRNAs cope with the degeneracy of the genetic code in two manners: having more than one tRNA (with a specific anti-codon) for a particular amino acid; and 'wobble' base-pairing, i.e. permitting non-standard base-pairing at the 3rd anti-codon position. Lineage: Bacteria; Pseudomonadati; Pseudomonadota; Gammaproteobacteria; Enterobacterales; Enterobacteriaceae. The record is from RNAcentral.
GUCCCUUUCGUCUAGAGGAUUAGGACCUCGCUCUUUCACGGCGGUAACGGGGGUUCAAAUCCCCCAGGGGACA